Molecule: ribosomal RNA, 413 nt
Filed under: uncultured bacterium
Lineage: Bacteria
Description: bacterial SSU rRNA
Rfam family: Bacterial small subunit ribosomal RNA
Source: RNAcentral
GUGCCAGCAGCCGCGGUAACACGUAGGGUGCGAGCGUUAAUCGGAAUUACUGGGCGUAAAGCGUGCGCAGGCGGUUCCGCAAGUCAGGUGUGAAAGCCCCGGGCUUAACCUGGGAAUGGCAUUUGAAACUACGGGACUGGAGUGCGGCAGAGGGAGGUGGAAUUCCACGUGUAGCGGUGAAAUGCGUAGAGAUGUGGAGGAACACCGAUGGCGAAGGCAGCCUCCUGGGCCAGCACUGACGCUCAUGCACGAAAGCGUGGGGAGCAAACAGGAUUAGAUACCCUGGUAGUCCACGCCCUAAACGAUGUCUACUAGUUGUUGGGGGAGUUAAAUCCCUUAGUAACGCAGCUAACGCGCGAAGUAGACCGCCUGGGGAGUACGGUCGCAAGAUUAAAACUCAAAGGAAUUGACGG